Long non-coding RNA from Sander lucioperca (pikeperch), 2585 nucleotides. The record is from Ensembl. Lineage: Eukaryota; Metazoa; Chordata; Actinopteri; Perciformes; Percidae.
AUACUUGUUCUCUCUUUUCUCAGCGAGCUACCUCGGUGGAUAGAAAAGACCUGAACGAAGGUUGCAGCACAACUGAGAAUCACAACUCAUUCUCCGUCACCAUGGAAACCAUUGAACAAUCAGAGCUGGCGAUGGACUGUGAAGUAGAGGUCUCUGUGGCUGAUUCACCUGAGCAGGGGAAGGAUUUCAGUGCAGAUGAUGAGCAAAAUGGUUCAGAGACAGAUUUAUCAGAUUUCCCAGGGGAAACAGCGGUACUUGGCAAAUUAUUAACUGACCUUCCAACCGGCACCAUUGAGAUUGACAAGCCUGACUGCUCUGAGACCAGCAUUUGCAGUGAAAUGCCUUGUCAGGAUCAAAAUGAAGCUUUGAUAUUAGAAUUAGGGCAUGAAGAGCUCAACAGGAAUGAGUCAAUCGCCUCAUCUGUGUCUGACACACUCUCCAGUGCUGACAGUGUAUAUGAGAACGAGGCCCAUCGUAAGAGGCAGGACAUACCAGAACAAGAUCCUGAGCAAGAACAAGUCCCUGAAUCUGACCAGUUUCCUGAGCCAGAGCAAGACCUUGAACCAGAGCAAUACCCUGAGCCAAAGCAAGACCCUGAACCAGAGCAAUACCCUGAGCAAGAGGAAGACCUUGAGCUAGGGCACCACCUUAAACAAGAGGAAGACCUUGAGCUAGGGAACCGCCCUAAGCAAGAGGAAGACCUUGAGCUAGGGCACCGCCCUAAACAAGAGGAAGACCUUGAGCUAGGGCACCACCCUGAGCAAGAGGAAGAUCUUGAGCUAGGGCACUACCCUGAGCCAGAACAAGACUCUGAACCAGACCAGUACCCUGAGCCGGAGCAAUACCCUGAGCUAGAGUUAUACCCUGAGCCAGAGCCUGAGGAUAAUGAGCUUAGUCUUGAAGGCGGUGGUUAUCAAAAUGUGGCAAUAGACACAGAGGAAGACCCAGAUCCCCAUGACAUCCAAUUUGAACCACCCAUUACAGAGGAGUCGAUAUUAGAGCAGUGUAUUAGAGAAGAGGCAAUGUCAGAUGUUUCCAAUGAGUCCUGCCAUGGCUUUGAGCCUGACGAAAUGGACGAAUGCCUGGACGCUGAGAUUGUGGCAGCUUCCUCAGACAGUGAUAAUGAUGAAAAAUGGAGAGCAAUAUUCUCUUCUUCUAUAAAUAGAGAAGACGAUGACUCAUAUUUGGACAGUCUUCAGCUGAGUGCCCAGGAGCUGUUUGUGCAGAAAGUUGAGGUGACAGACUUUGAGGAACAAGACAACAACGUUGAAGAAGUCAGUUUUGAGGUUCCACAAGUGGAAGAAGUUCUAGAACAACCUGAAGAUAAAAUUUCCUUUCCUAGCCCUCCACAAGAGGUUAAAUAUAACCCUUUAGGCCUUCAAUGUUUGUCCAAAAUCUCUGAAGAUGAGAGUGAAAAUGGCAGAGAUGCCAAUCAUAACCACACAACCCACCAUAAGCACAUCAAUGCAGAUUCGAACAAGAAGCUACCUAAAGACUUUUGUGUAAUACAAGAAACCAAGAGCAAGAAUGUUAGCACAGAGCAUGUGGACUUUCAGCUGGCUCGUAAACAGUGGCGGGAAAUGGAGGAGCAGACCAUGAACAAGAUUGUCUUACCUACAACCAAGCAGCCCAGCUUCCAUGGCAGCCACAGCUUCAUGUACACACCGGUCCGCAACAUUGAAAGAACUCACAAGAAAGCCCAUGAUCUGGAGAACUUAAAUCUGGUUGGCGAUUAUGCUCACACCCAAUUCAGUCCUUGCUCAGAGGAUUCUGGCCUGGAUGAUUCCAGUUACAGGUCCCCUUACGAUGACCCAGAAACACAAGUUGAAAGGGAGAUUCGCAUAUCAAUGGAGCGGGAGGAAAACUUCAGGAGAGAGAGGGUCUUCUCAAGGAUGGGCAAAUCCACUGAUUGUGCUCCAUCACGAAGUAUCCCCAGAUCUAUAAGCACUCCACUAACACCAUCAUUCAUCAUCACCUCCUCACCCACUAAGGAACCGCUGAAACAUGAAGUAUCAGCAAACAUUAUCAUUCUCGACCCUGGCAAUGAUUUCACCUCGAGCCCAAGAUUUGGCAAAGACCACGUGGCAGCUCAGUCUGGCGAGUGGCGCUCCGAGGACAGCAGCUCCAACCUCAUCAUCCUCGAAACAUCCAAUCUGAUUAUUCGCAGUGCCUCUGAGUUCUCUCUCAACAAAGCCUGUGAGCAGCCCCAGGAGAAAAUGUUCCUGAACAACCCCUUUUUCAAGCUGCGUUCAAGAAGCACAAUGUCACUGGUGGAUGAAGAGAUUAAGAUGGUGAAGCAGAGGGAGGACGAUCUGAAGAAAGAGAGGGCAAAUCUAUAUGGCGAAGACAGGUUCAAUAAUGAAAGGAUAUUGUCAAAUAACAAGGACACUUUGGCAUUUGACAAUUCAGUGGAUGUACCAUUGAAGUGCAAGUCCUCUCCCUCGUCACCAAUGAAAACAGCCUACAGGAUGGAUCGCUCUGCCUUAUCCUGUGAUCACAGAUUUCCAGAUGUCUACACAGGAGGAAGACGCAAGAGUUCCAUGGCUCUGCGCUGGGAGGCGGGCGAGUUUACAAAAACCGAGUAA